Molecule: ribosomal RNA, 371 nt
Filed under: Zemeros flegyas
Lineage: Eukaryota; Metazoa; Arthropoda; Insecta; Lepidoptera; Riodinidae
Also listed under: 1 other name
Description: partial 12S ribosomal RNA
Source: RNAcentral
UGUAAACUAGGAUUAGAUACCCUAUUAUAAAAUUUUAAUUUAAAAUACUAAAAUAGUAGAUAAUAAUUUAUUGAAACUUAAAUAAUUUGGCGGUAUUUUAGUUCAUUUAGAGGAAUCUGUUUAAUAAUUGAUAAUCCACGAAUAAAUUUACUUAAUUUAAAAUUUUGUAUAUCGUUGUUAAAAAAAUAUUUUUAAAUAAUAAUAAUAUUUUAAAAUUUUAAAAAAAGUUAAUUCAGAUCAAGAUGCAGAUUAUAAUUAAGAAUAUAAUGGAUUACAAUAAAUUUAUUUAAAUGGAAAUAUAUUUUGAAAAAAAUAAUUGAAGGUGGAUUUAAAUGUAAUUUUAUUUAAUUAAUAAGAUGAUUGACUGCAUA